Oryza punctata is the source of this 198-nucleotide non-coding RNA. The record is from Rfam. NCBI's taxonomy places the organism in Eukaryota, Viridiplantae, Streptophyta, Magnoliopsida, Poales, Poaceae.
AAAGAGUGCAGUUUUACACUAUUCCUAUCCACCGUUUGACCGUUUGUCUUAUUUAAAAAAUUUUUAUGAUUAGUAUUUUUAUUAUUCUUAGAUAAUAAAACAUGAACAUUACUUUAUGUGUGACUAUUUUUUUUAUAAAUUUUUCAAAUAAAACCGAUGGUCAAACAUUGGAUAUAGGCAUCCACGGCUGCACUUAAA